Long non-coding RNA from Salvelinus namaycush (lake trout), 248 nucleotides. RefSeq lists it as uncharacterized. Lineage: Eukaryota; Metazoa; Chordata; Actinopteri; Salmoniformes; Salmonidae. The record is from RefSeq and is a predicted model, not a curated record. The transcript has 3 exons.
CGCAGCUGUGCUGGCCCCUAUCGCCGUGGUAACGCUCAUCAUCAUCAUCAUCACCGCCGUGCUCUGCCGGAAGAACAAGAGCGACUUUAAAGCCGACGCCAUGGGCAACCUCAACCCCCGUGUCAAGACGUCAUAUCGGAGGGAUGUUACAGGAUAUUACCACCAGCCUGUCCAGGGAUUUGACUAUGCCAAGCAGCACUUGGGCCGGGUGCAGGGUGGGGAGGGAGAGACCCUCCCCGUGACCCAGG